This 2298-nucleotide ribosomal RNA is filed under the name Staphylococcus aureus. Its description in RNAcentral is "partial 23S ribosomal RNA". It matches the Rfam family "Bacterial large subunit ribosomal RNA", at positions 1 to 2297 of the family's 2925-position model. The record is from RNAcentral. Lineage: Bacteria; Bacillati; Bacillota; Bacilli; Caryophanales; Staphylococcaceae.
GAUUAAGUUAUUAAGGGCGCACGGUGGAUGCCUUGGCACUAGAAGCCGAUGAAGGACGUUACUAACGACGAUAUGCUUUGGGGAGCUGUAAGUAAGCUUUGAUCCAGAGAUUUCCGAAUGGGGAAACCCAGCAUGAGUUAUGUCAUGUUAUCGAUAUGUGAAUACAUAGCAUAUCAGAAGGCACACCCGGAGAACUGAAACAUCUUAGUACCCGGAGGAAGAGAAAGAAAAUUCGAUUCCCUUAGUAGCGGCGAGCGAAACGGGAAGAGCCCAAACCAACAAGCUUGCUUGUUGGGGUUGUAGGACACUCUAUACGGAGUUACAAAGGACGACAUUAGACGAAUCAUCUGGAAAGAUGAAUCAAAGAAGGUAAUAAUCCUGUAGUCGAAAAUGUUGUCUCUCUUGAGUGGAUCCUGAGUACGACGGAGCACGUGAAAUUCCGUCGGAAUCUGGGAGGACCAUCUCCUAAGGCUAAAUACUCUCUAGUGACCGAUAGUGAACCAGUACCGUGAGGGAAAGGUGAAAAGCACCCCGGAAGGGGAGUGAAAUAGAACCUGAAACCGUGUGCUUACAAGUAGUCAGAGCCCGUUAAUGGGUGAUGGCGUGCCUUUUGUAGAAUGAACCGGCGAGUUACGAUUUGAUGCAAGGUUAAGCAGUAAAUGUGGAGCCGUAGCGAAAGCGAGUCUGAAUAGGGCGUUUAGUAUUUGGUCGUAGACCCGAAACCAGGUGAUCUACCCUUGGUCAGGUUGAAGUUCAGGUAACACUGAAUGGAGGACCGAACCGACUUACGUUGAAAAGUGAGCGGAUGAACUGAGGGUAGCGGAGAAAUUCCAAUCGAACCUGGAGAUAGCUGGUUCUCUCCGAAAUAGCUUUAGGGCUAGCCUCAAGUGAUGAUUAUUGGAGGUAGAGCACUGUUUGGACGAGGGGCCCCUCUCGGGUUACCGAAUUCAGACAAACUCCGAAUGCCAAUUAAUUUAACUUGGGAGUCAGAACAUGGGUGAUAAGGUCCGUGUUCGAAAGGGAAACAGCCCAGACCACCAGCUAAGGUCCCAAAAUAUAUGUUAAGUGGAAAAGGAUGUGGCGUUGCCCAGACAACUAGGAUGUUGGCUUAGAAGCAGCCAUCAUUUAAAGAGUGCGUAAUAGCUCACUAGUCGAGUGACACUGCGCCGAAAAUGUACCGGGGCUAAACAUAUUACCGAAGCUGUGGAUUGUCCUUUGGACAAUGGUAGGAGAGCGUUCUAAGGGCGUUGAAGCAUGAUCGUAAGGACAUGUGGAGCGCUUAGAAGUGAGAAUGCCGGUGUGAGUAGCGAAAGACGGGUGAGAAUCCCGUCCACCGAUUGACUAAGGUUUCCAGAGGAAGGCUCGUCCGCUCUGGGUUAGUCGGGUCCUAAGCUGAGGCCGACAGGCGUAGGCGAUGGAUAACAGGUUGAUAUUCCUGUACCACCUAUAAUCGUUUUAAUCGAUGGGGGGACGCAGUAGGAUAGGCGAAGCGUGCGAUUGGAUUGCACGUCUAAGCAGUAAGGCUGAGUAUUAGGCAAAUCCGGUACUCGUUAAGGCUGAGCUGUGAUGGGGAGAAGACAUUGUGUCUUCGAGUCGUUGAUUUCACACUGCCGAGAAAAGCCUCUAGAUAGAAAAUAGGUGCCCGUACCGCAAACCGACACAGGUAGUCAAGAUGAGAAUUCUAAGGUGAGCGAGCGAACUCUCGUUAAGGAACUCGGCAAAAUGACCCCGUAACUUCGGGAGAAGGGGUGCUCUUUAGGGUUAACGCCCAGAAGAGCCGCAGUGAAUAGGCCCAAGCGACUGUUUAUCAAAAACACAGGUCUCUGCUAAACCGUAAGGUGAUGUAUAGGGGCUGACGCCUGCCCGGUGCUGGAAGGUUAAGAGGAGUGGUUAGCUUCUGCGAAGCUACGAAUCGAAGCCCCAGUAAACGGCGGCCGUAACUAUAACGGUCCUAAGGUAGCGAAAUUCCUUGUCGGGUAAGUUCCGACCCGCACGAAAGGCGUAACGAUUUGGGCACUGUCUCAACGAGAGACUCGGUGAAAUCAUAGUACCUGUGAAGAUGCAGGUUACCCGCGACAGGACGGAAAGACCCCGUGGAGCUUUACUGUAGCCUGAUAUUGAAAUUCGGCACAGCUUGUACAGGAUAGGUAGGAGCCUUUGAAACGUGAGCGCUAGCUUACGUGGAGGCGCUGGUGGGAUACUACCCUAGCUGUGUUGGCUUUCUAACCCGCACCACUUAUCGUGGUGGGAGACAGUGUCANGCGGGCAGUUUGACUGGGGCGGUCGCCUCCUAAAAGG